Molecule: non-coding RNA, 24 nt
Filed under: Arabidopsis thaliana (thale cress)
Lineage: Eukaryota; Viridiplantae; Streptophyta; Magnoliopsida; Brassicales; Brassicaceae
Source: RNAcentral
AGGAGUGAUUUUAACUAGACAAGU